Long non-coding RNA from Fundulus heteroclitus (mummichog), 310 nucleotides. RefSeq lists it as uncharacterized. The record is from RefSeq and is a predicted model, not a curated record. The transcript has 2 exons. NCBI's taxonomy places the organism in Eukaryota, Metazoa, Chordata, Actinopteri, Cyprinodontiformes, Fundulidae.
GGGAGAAAUGAGCGGGAUAAAAUGCAUCAAUAAGAACUGAUAGCGGAUGAAAACGCGAUGGAUUAGGUUAGAUUGGACAUUUGAGCGACACCAAGAAAACAAAUCCAUGAAACGCAUCUUUUGCGGAACAUAUCUGAUCUUAUUUGUUUCAUACGACUCUUUCAGCCGCAUUAUUGUUCCCAGCUUGUGACUCACAGGAUAUUUACAUUUCUAAAUGCAAUACUGGAUUUGGAAGAGGCGUUAGAUUAACGUUUUCUUCUGUCUUUGUUAUGCUUAAAUGAUUCAGAUCAUCAAAAAAAAUUACAAGAAU